Molecule: long non-coding RNA, 2133 nt
Filed under: Linum usitatissimum (flax)
Lineage: Eukaryota; Viridiplantae; Streptophyta; Magnoliopsida; Malpighiales; Linaceae
Description: long non-coding RNA (LUSI_LNC002598)
Source: RNAcentral
CCUUUCGUCCUAAAGUUACCUACUCAAAUAUGGGCCCGUCGAGAGAGGAAAGCCCUUAUUCGGCUAUCAUCCCAAACCUAAGGCAACUGUCCUGGUUUAAAGGACGAGAUCACCCAAUGAAGAUCAACCAUCUAAGGCAAAGCCACGACAGCCUUAACCGAAGGUGUUAUAUAAGGAGAACAUGACACCACUGAUAAAGGGAAAUCUACACCAAAUGUGAAACAUUUUCCCAAUGUAAAAUCCAUCCCCAGAAGACUCUGGUUAGACCAGUGGUCCGACCCAUGUAACCUCAACAAGGGCUUUACUAUACCAAACUUUACUAAUCACACAUAAAUCAAGUAUUAAUAACAUAAACAAUCUAAUAUAUAAAAUAAGGGUUCUCAAACCAUGUACUGAAACGAAGACCUUAAAACAAGCUUUAUAAUUAUAGGAAGGAGGUACAACCCCCAAUUUCUUAAAUAGAUCAAAUCUUGAAAAUCCAAACCGACCAGCUCUUCCCACCUCCAUUUCCAAUACCUGAGGCUGAAAACGCAAAUACAUACUGAAAGACUAACACAUCCAAGACGAGAUGAAUAAAAAGCACCGAGUGUCUAACAGACAGCCGUAACUUAAAGCACAAAUAAGAAAGGUAAAUGCAUGGUUAAGAAUGUCGGAUCGAACUGACUGGUCCAAUUGGUUUGACGGCAAACCAACCAAAGAGCCGAAACCGAGUCGCCGGUUGAUGAGAAUGGUCGAAACCAAACGUUGACCCGAUUUAACCAUGAAAUUUGGCCGGUUCAACCAAAAUUGUUUGGCCGGUUGGACGCGAUUUUUAUGGCUACAUUUUUUAUUUUUCAAAAAUAUGGAAGUGAGAUUCAAACAAUGAUCUUUCGAGAAGAGAAGAUGAGUGAUUAUCAUCUGUACUAAUAUCAUAAUUUGAUUAAAUCAUACAUUUAAUUGAUAAUAAUAAACAUUAUGACAGCUAAUUAACACUAAAAAAGUAGCAACUUACCAUAAAUGAAGUAAAUUGUACAUUAGAUCUCAAUUAUUUGAUUAAUAAAAAUUUCAAAUCAUUUAUAUGAUUUAAAAUUUCUUAAAAAUGAUAUAAUAACUAUAUUUUUUACAAGGUAAAUUAUGAUUUUGAACUCUCUAUACUACAUGUUCAAUCCGGCUCAAUUAAAAAAUCGUCCAGUCCGGCUUAACUAUAUUUAUUAAUUUAAUUAAUAAUUAAAAUGGUCCAACCAGGUUUUAAAAAUGAUCGGACCCCGAUCGAACCAUCAAACUCUCAACCCAUAUCUUCCCCUAUUCAAUCACUGGUCUAGUUUUCAAAACAUUGGCUAAAUGAAUAGACAAAUAGUGACUGGCAUAUUUACUAGACCACUAUGGCUACAUUACUAGAGAUGGAAUUCAAUUACUUGUGAUUCCUCAUUAGUGGGUUAGCUUCAUAGUGGAACAUACCACAAAGCGACCAAAUCCGUACAAGCAUCAUCUUUGACAUAUUCUACACGUCUGUAGUAACAUUAAUCACCUAAAGGGUUGUGCAACCUAGGGAUGGGUACCAACACAUAACACAGUAUAAUAUAGUCUAUCUCGGUAAUGAUAGUAAUAAGUCAGGAUACAGUAGAAUCCAUCUAGUAAAUAGUGGAUCCUUAGCUCAAGAGAACACAAGCCAUCAUGCCUCAGUAAAAUCACAAGCUGACAGUGGUAGCGGUCAAUUAUAACCGUAAAAUCAUUAGGAUAAUCCUACCCAGACCAGACAGAAAUGUAACGGGAAACCCCAACUUAGCAAAAGCCGAUCUCUGAAUAUGAGAAGAGUAUUCUUCCCUUAUCUAUAUAAGCUUCCCCUGAUCCCUAAUAGUUCAUUUGGACCAACUCCAUCAUUCUCCGUACCAAGAACCACUACAACACAUCAAUAUAUGAAAAAUCCUCAAAACUAAAACCUUCUAAAAUUGAGAAAGAAAUCCAUGAUCACCUUUAAUUGCCUUAAGUAAAACGUUCAUGAAAUAGCCCCUGCCCAUCCUUCAAGAUCUCGUGGAGAUCAAACUUUUUUAUACCAUUAAAAGUGGAACUUUCUUUUCUGAAAAUGCCUUCAUCGAGUAUUGCAGAAAAACUGAUUUAGGAAUUUCAAAUCUUCUGUCAACUAAAACACCAAAA